RNAcentral lists this ribosomal RNA (548 nucleotides) under uncultured archaeon. RNAcentral's name for it is "bacterial SSU rRNA". It matches the Rfam family "Bacterial small subunit ribosomal RNA", at positions 509 to 1050 of the family's 1533-position model. The record is from RNAcentral.
CAGCAGCCGCGGUAAUACGUAGGGGGCAAGCGUUGCUCGGAAUUACUGGGCGUAAAGGGUGAGUAGGCGGUCGGGCAAGUCAAGGAUGAAAUCCCGAGGCUCAACUUCGGAAUUGUUCUUGAAACUGCUCGGCUUGAGGGUAGUUGAGGAGAGCGGAAUUCCCGGUGGAGCGGUGAAAUGCGUAGAUAUCGGGAGGAACACCUGAGGCGAAGGCGGCUCUCUAAACUACUCCUGACGCUGAAUCACGAAAGCUAGGGGAGCAAACGGGAUUAGAUACCCCGGUAGUCCUAGCCGUAAACGAUGGACACUGGAUAUUCCGGCAUUUCUGCUGGAGUGUCGUAGCUAACGCGUUAAGUGUCCCGCCUGGGGAGUACGAUCGCAAGGUUGAAACUCAAAGGAAUUGACGGGGGCCCGCACAAGCGGUGGAGCAUGUGGUUUAAUUCGACGCUACGCGAAGAACCUUACCUGGGCUUGAACUGCUGGUGGUAGAAGCCCGAAAGGGUAACGACCCGGAGCAAUCCGGGAGCCAGUAGAGGAGGUGCAUGGCC